UACGGAGGAUGCGAGCGUUAUCCGGAUUUAUUGGGUUUAAAGGGUGCGUAGGCGGGAUGCCAAGUCAGCGGUAAAAAUGCGGUGCUCAACGCCGUCGAGCCGUUGAAACUGGCGUUCUUGAGUGGGCGAGUAGUAUGCGGAAUGCGUGGUGUAGCGGUGAACUGCAUAGAUAUCACGCAGAACUCCGAUUGCGAAGGCAGCAUACCGGCGCCCUACUGACGCUGAGGCACGAAAGCGUGGGUAUCGAACAGG
RNAcentral lists this ribosomal RNA (252 nucleotides) under uncultured bacterium. RNAcentral describes it as "partial 16S ribosomal RNA". It matches the Rfam family "Bacterial small subunit ribosomal RNA", at positions 524 to 776 of the family's 1533-position model. The record is from RNAcentral.